Molecule: transfer RNA, 77 nt
Filed under: Dehalococcoidia bacterium
Lineage: Bacteria; Bacillati; Chloroflexota; Dehalococcoidia
Description: tRNA-Arg
Rfam family: tRNA
About the family: Transfer RNA (tRNA) molecules are approximately 80 nucleotides in length. Their secondary structure includes four short double-helical elements and three loops (D, anti-codon, and T loops).
Source: RNAcentral
GCGCCCGUAGCUCAGCUGGACAGAGCAUCUCGCUUCGAACGAGAGGGUCGCGGGUUCGAAUCCUGCCGGGCGUGCCA